GAUGAAGAACGUAGCGAAAUGCGAUAAGUAAUGUGAAUUGCAGAAUUCAGUGAAUCAUCGAAUCUUUGAACGCACAUUGCGCCCGCCAGUAUUCUGGCGGGCAUGCCUGUUCGAGCGUCAUUACAACCCUCAGGCCCCCGGGCCUGGCGUUGGGGAUCGGCGAGGCGCCCCCCGCGGGCACGCGCCGUCCCCCAAAUACAGUGGCGGUCCCGCCGCAGCUUCCAUUGCGUAGUAGCUAACACCUCGCAACUGGAGAGCGGCGCGGCCAUGCCGUAAAACGCCCAACUUCUGAAUGUUGACCUCGAAUCAGGUAGGAAUACCCGCUGAACUUAAGCAUAUCAAUAAGCGGAGGA
Molecule: unclassified non-coding RNA, 353 nt
Filed under: soil metagenome
Description: partial contains 5.8S ribosomal RNA, internal transcribed spacer 2, and large subunit ribosomal RNA
Rfam family: 5.8S ribosomal RNA (bases 1-120)
Source: RNAcentral